This 94-nucleotide small nucleolar RNA is filed under the name Bodo saltans. RNAcentral's name for it is "Small nucleolar RNA TBR5". It matches the Rfam family "Small nucleolar RNA TBR5". From Rfam's summary of the family: TBR5 is a member of the C/D class of snoRNA which contain the C (UGAUGA) and D (CUGA) box motifs. Most of the members of the box C/D family function in directing site-specific 2'-O-methylation of substrate RNAs. The record is from Rfam by way of RNAcentral. Lineage: Eukaryota; Euglenozoa; Kinetoplastea; Eubodonida; Bodonidae.
GAAGUGAUCGACACCAAGGCUGAUGUAACGCCGUCGCAGAUGGAAGUUGACAUUAGAAUGAAACGAUGCUCCAACGAGCACGCCCCGUCUGAUC